AAAUGAAACCACAAUAAGACUAAUAAUUAACUUACAAAAUUUAACUACAUUAAACUACUAAUUAAUAAAGUUAAAUAAUUAUCAAUAAAUAUUAAAUCAAAUUAAGACGAGUUAAAUUUGCAAAACUAGUGCAUGAUAAAUCGAGAAAUCGAGACGAAUUUUCUAUUCGCCGGCACACGUUGCGAGGUCACUUGAGUCUGUUCGCUGGAAUUUUUUUGACGGUGACCCGGGGAUGUCAACUUGUAGAUCGAGGUGCAAGGAGUCCCAAUAUCUGGUUAUUUUCACCAAAUGACCACCAGAAGGCCACCAAAAAUCGAACAAGUCUGGCGAAGCUACACUAACUCUGGUCACUGAUCUAGAUGCGACGUCAGGGGCUGUAACUAUCCAGGUUUGGGUUUUAAGGGGCGGGGAAGCUGAUUCUAGCUUCAGUUUGGUCGAAAAACACCGGCAAGGUGGUGAAACGACGAUGGCAGCAAAGGAGCGAUUUUCCUUCCUCCUCCCUUCGACGCUACCCAACAGUUUCAAGCAAAAACUAGAGGCGGAAAGGUGUUGGCAAUGCCAAAAACUCCCCUUGGCUGGGGUUCGACGUCCAACGGUGGCUGAAAAACAGAGAUUGGGGGAGAGAGAGGUCGACGGCAGUGGAGGGAGAAGGAGAGGAAUUAUGGUGAUAUGCACAGGGACCUAGACUGUAAUAUUUUGCAAAAUAAGAAAAUGCGAUUGACUUCUCUUUUUAAAACAUUUGCUACAGUAGACUCC
RNAcentral lists this long non-coding RNA (756 nucleotides) under Ricinus communis (castor bean). Its description in RNAcentral is "long non-coding RNA (RCOM_LNC001817)". The record is from RNAcentral. Lineage: Eukaryota; Viridiplantae; Streptophyta; Magnoliopsida; Malpighiales; Euphorbiaceae.